RNAcentral lists this ribosomal RNA (497 nucleotides) under uncultured bacterium. RNAcentral describes it as "partial 16S ribosomal RNA". It matches the Rfam family "Bacterial small subunit ribosomal RNA", at positions 28 to 507 of the family's 1533-position model. The record is from RNAcentral.
GAUGAACGCUGGCGGUGUGCCUAAUACAUGCAAGUCGAGCGAACAGACGAGGAGCUUACUCCUCUGACGUUAGCGGCGGACGGGUGAGUAACACGUGGAUAACCUAACUAUAAGACUGGGAUAACUUCGGGAAACCGUAGCUAAUACCGGAUAACAUGUUGAACCGCAUUGUUCAACAGUGAAAGACGGUCUUGCUGUCACUAAUAGCUGGAUCCGCGUCGCAUUACCUAGUUGGUAAGGUAACGGCUUACCAAGGCAAGGAUGCGUAGCCGACCUGAGGGGGUGAUCGGACAGACGGGAAGAGAGACACGGCACCGACUCCGGCGGGAGGCAGCAGUAGGGAAUCUUCCGCAAGGGGCGAAAGGCUGAUGGAGCAACGCCGGGUGAAGGAUGAAGCAGUUCGGCCGGGAGAACGCUGUAAGUCGGAGAGAACAAAUGUGUAAGUAACUGUGAACGUCUUGACGGUACCGGGUCAAAAAGCCACGGCUAACUACGUG